Molecule: ribosomal RNA, 481 nt
Filed under: uncultured bacterium
Lineage: Bacteria
Description: partial 16S ribosomal RNA
Rfam family: Bacterial small subunit ribosomal RNA
Source: RNAcentral
GAUGAACGCUGGCGGCGUGCUAAACACAUGCAAGUCGAACGAAGCACUUUAUUUGAUUUCCUUCGGGACUGAUUAUUUUGUGACUGAGUGGCGGACGGGUGAGUAACGCGUGGGUAACCUGCCUUGUACAGGGGGAUAACAGUUGGAAACGGCUGCUAAUACCGCAUAAGCGCACAGCAUCGCAUGAUGCAGUGUGAAAAACUCCGGUGGUAUAAGAUGGACCCGCGUUGGAUUAGCUAGUUGGUGAGGUAACGGCCCACCAAGGCGACGAUCCAUAGCCGACCUGAGAGGGUGACCGGCCACAUUGGGACUGAGACACGGCCCAAACUCCUACGGGAGGCAGCAGUGGGGAAUAUUGCACAAUGGGCGAAAGCCUGAUGCAGCGACGCCGCGUGAGCGAAGAAGUAUUUCGGUAUGUAAAGCUCUAUCAGCAGGGAAGAUAAUGACGGUACCUGACUAAGAAGCACCGGCUAAAUACGUG